CUGGCUCAGGAUGAACGCUAGCGGCAGGCUUAACACAUGCAAGUCGAGGGGCAGCGGGAUGUAGCAAUACAUUGCCGGCGACCGGCGGAUGGGUGCGUAACGCGUAUGCAACCUACCUUAUACAGGGGAAUAACCUUUCGAAAGGGAGACUAACACCCCAUAGUAUUGAUUUAAGGCAUCUUAGAUUAAUUAAAUAUUUAUAGGUAUAAGAUGGGCAUGCGUAUGAUUAGCUAGUUGGUAAGGUAACGGCUUACCAAGGCGACGAUCAUUAGGGGUUCUGAGAGGAAGGUCCCCCACACUGGUACUGAGACACGGACCAGGCUCCUACGGGAGGCAGCAGUGAGGAAUAUUGGUCAAUGGGCGCAAGCCUGAACCAGCCAUGCCGCGUGCAGGAAGACGGCCUUAUGGGUUGUAAACUGCUUUUACAUAAGACUAACCGUAUAUUUGCGAAUAUACCUGAAUGUAUUAUGAGAAUAAGGAUCGGCUAACUCCGUGCCAGCCGCCGC
RNAcentral lists this ribosomal RNA (506 nucleotides) under uncultured bacterium. RNAcentral's name for it is "bacterial SSU rRNA". It matches the Rfam family "Bacterial small subunit ribosomal RNA", at positions 19 to 518 of the family's 1533-position model. The record is from RNAcentral.